This 371-nucleotide ribosomal RNA is filed under the name uncultured bacterium. RNAcentral describes it as "bacterial SSU rRNA". It matches the Rfam family "Bacterial small subunit ribosomal RNA", at positions 527 to 896 of the family's 1533-position model. The record is from RNAcentral.
AGAGGGGGCUAGCGUUGUUCGGAAUUACUGGGCGUAAAGGGCGCGUAGGUGGCCUGUUAAGUCGAACGUGAAAUCCCCGGGCUCAACCCGGGAACUGCGUCCGAGACUGGCAGGCUCGAAUCCGGGAGAGGGAUGUGGAAUUCCAGGUGUAGCGGUGAAAUGCGUAGAUAUCUGGAGGAACACCGGUGGCGAAGGCGGCAUCCUGGACCGGUAUUGACGCUGAGGCGCGAAAGCCAGGGGAGCAAACGGGAUUAGAUACCCCGGUAGUCCUGGCCCUAAACGAUGAAUGCUUGGUGUGGCGGGUAUCGAUCCCUGCCGUGCCGAAGCUAACGCAUUAAGCAUUCCGCCUGGGGAGUACGGUCGCAAGGCUG